AGCCCCUAGCGCAGACGGCGGAGAGCAGAGAGGGAGCGCGCCUUGGCUCGCUGGCCUUGGCUGCGGCUCCUUGGGAGAGCUGGGGCGCCCGCGAGAGGAUCCCUCACCUGGGUCUCUCCUCAGGGAUGACAUCAUCCGUCCACCUCCUUGUCUUCAAGGACCACCUCCUCUCCAUGCCGAGCCGCUCCAAGGGGCCUGCUGCCCAUCUACACCUCACGAGGGCACUAGGAGCACGGAUUCCUGGAUCCCACCAACAUACAAAGCAGCCAUUCACUGACCCCCAGGACCAGGAUGGCAAAGGAUGAAGCGGACCGGAACUGACCAGCCGGCUGUACCUCUUACCUAAAGACUUAAACCAAUGCCCUAGUGAGGGGGCAUUGGGCAUUAAGCCCUGACCUUUGCUAUGCUCAUGCUUUGACUCUAUGAGUACUUUCCUAUAAGUCUUUGCUUGUGUUCACCUGCUAGCAAACUGGAGUGUUUCCCUCCCCAAGGGGGUGUCAGUCUUUGUCGACUGACUCUGUCAUCACCCUUACAAUGUCCUGAAUGGAAGGAUCCCUUUGGGAAAUUCUCAGGAGGGGGACCUGGGCCAAGGGCUUGACCAGCAUCCUGCUGGCAACUCCAAGGCCCUGGGUGGGCUUCUGGAAUGAGCAUGCUACUGAAUCACCAAAGGCAUGCCCCACCUCUCUGGAGAUCUUCCUAUCCUUUUCUGGGGAAUGGGGUCGAUGGAAGCAACCUCCUAGGGUUGUUGUGAGAAUUAAAUGAGAUAAAAGAGGCCUCAGGCAGGAUCUGGCAUAGAGGAGGUGAUCAGCAAAUGUUUGUUGAAAAGGUUCGACAGGUCAGUCCCUUCCCACCCCUCUUGCUUGUCUUACUCAUCUUAUUUAUUCUCCAGCAGCACUCCAGGCAGCCCUUGUCCUCGGGCUCUCCUUGCAUCAGCCAAGCUUCUUGAAAGGCCUGUCUACACUUGCUGUCUUCCUUCCUCACCUCCAAUUUCCUCUUCAACCCACUGCUUCCUGACUCGCUCUACUCCGUGGAAGGGCUCUCACAAAGGCACGUGGGCCGUGGCCCGGCUGGGUCGGCUGAAGAACUGCGGAUGGAAGCCGCGGAAGAGGCCCUGAUGGGGCCCACCAUCCCGGACCCAAGUCUUCUUCCUGGCGGGCCUCUCGUCUCCUUCCUGGUUUGGGCCGAAGCCAUCACCUGGAUUCCUGCGUGGGAAGGGACCUCGAAUGUGGGACCCCAGCCCCUCUCCAGCUCGAAAUCGGCAGACUAGGAUGGAAGUGCCCUGCGAGCUGGGGGGCCCUUCAAAGGGCCAAGGAGAAAACGCAGGCCAAGGGACCAGCCUUCCAAAUGGGCUUCGAGCUCCAAUGACCUCCGCUCACCCCCUCGAAAUGUCUGGAAAACAUAAUGGGCAGAUUUUCUGUCUUCAAAGUUUCCGGCUAAACCUCUUCAAGUUCUUUAUUGUUUGGGACUGAGACACUCAGCCAUGAAUCUGGGGCUCCAGGCUAUGCCUUGGUUGGACUGAGGUCUGGGGGUGCACUUUAUCCCUGGGGACACCUGCUGAAGCUUCUCCCUGACAAGCCAAGUGUCACCGUUGGAUGAGGAUGGGGCGGGAGGGGCCCAGGGCAGAAGAAGACCGGGGGGGGUCUUUCAAAAAAACUCCUGUAUGGCUGUUAAAAAAAGUCAGCAGAGGCUCGGAAGACUUAAAGUGUGCAGAAGGCGGGGAAGGGAGGGCCCGUCGCAUGCACCAAGAGGAAAUCGGAAGGAACAGGUGGCUUUGGCUGUCAGGAGAGCCUUCUCCCAACAUCUAGGGGCUGUCCUGACAGGUCACAGUGGGUCGAACUGAGUCAAUAGGAGAAGCUCUGGGGAGACCCACUGGUGCCCUGGAGGGUAGGUGGGUUUGGGUGGGAUGAAUUCUCUGUGUUCUUUUGGAAAUGUGGAGGCCGCGAGGGGGGAUCAGGGCUCUUAGGGUCUUUGACUCUUAAGAGUUUUGCAUCUGGAAUUCAAAGGGUCUUUAGUUCUGGGAUGCUGAGAUUCGGGAUAGGGUUCCUAACGGCACAAAAGCCAGAGAUAAAAUGUCCUUCACGUGCUCCCCACCCGGUUCUUUCUGUUCCAGACCCACAAGGUCCGAGUUGGGAUCUUAGUGCUCCUGUCUGGUCAGGGCCUCUCUUUAUGUGUUCGUUAAACAAUGAGAGUAAAUUCUGUCCCUUGACAUUGUCGUUUGCGUGCGCCCCACACGCAAAUCCUUUCCUGGUGACACCAGGAGCUACAACUCUCCUUGGCCUCCUCUUGUGACUCCCAGCUCCCUCCUUGGGAAGCUUGGCCUCAGGACCUCCUAGACCGACAGGCCAUGAAUCCCCCUGCGUCCUGUUGUGUUCCUAAUGUAAAUGGUGUGGAUGGCACUUGACCUAGAGCAGUGGGAAACGCAUCCACCACUCAACAUUCUGACAUGUCACCCAUUUUACAUUCUUACAGGCCUACUUUUUUUUUAAAAAAAGAGUGUCUAUUUUUAAAUGAGCAUCCCUUCUUUAAAAAAACCUAGUUGCCGUUAUUCGCCACAUACACUUUUUUUUUGGCAUCCUGCCUCUUCUAUUUAAUAUUCUGUCAUCAACAUUUUCCCUUGUUUCAUUCAUCUUCACAACCUCACUGGCUGCAUUGUGCCUUGCUGAGUGGCUAUGGCGUCAUUCACAGAACCAUUCUGUUAUUCUUAUGUAUAAUCACCUUUUAAAAAUAUUAUGAAUAAUGCCACAACUAACUGCUUAAAACACCCUUUUUUUUCAUUCUUAAGAAUUAUGUUCUUCCACCCAGAAAUUAUCAUUGCUUCAUUACAGAUCAGUUUCCCCUGCUAGACUGUGAGCCCCAUAAGGGCAAGGAGCUUAUUGAAUUGGCCUUUGUAUCUCUGAUGCCCAACAUGUUGUAGACGCUAAAUAAAUGACGAAUGAGUGGAUGGAAGAAUGGAGGAAGGAGCGAGUGAGUGAGUGUUUGGCUGAUGGAUAAGAGGGCGGAAGGAUGGGUGAAUCCAUGGAUUGGUGAAUGAACGAAUGAAUUUCCUUCGGUUAAGUCUCUUGAAAGAAACGCUAUGGAUCUUUGUAUGGAUAUUGAUUAAUUUCAGAAGGCUUACAGCGUUUUGCAAUGUUCAGCAAUGUAUGACCAUUUAAUUAAGAUAUGGCUAGUUUGUCUCUGUUAUAAAGUACUUUUGCAUUACUUUAACUUGCAUUGCUUUAAUUACUAAUGACGGGCGAACACUUUGACCUAUGUUUGUUAACAAAUUGUAUUUUAUCUUCUGUGAACUGUUUGUCCAAGUCCCUUGGGUCAUGGCUUUCUGAAGAGACUGGUCCCAGAUGCCCUUGGGAUGUAGGGAGCCCUUAGCUCACUGGAGGCAUUCAAGGAACCAGCCAGGCAGCCCUCGGAGAAGGUAGCGUUUAGGAGAUUCUCAUGGUGUGGGGUUGGCCUAGGUGGACUUUCAGGUCUGUUUGAUGUUAGGAUUUGCUUCUCCCUGGGAAGUGGGUGAUGGGGACAAGGACACCUUCCAUUGGCAGGUGUAGACACUGCAGGCUGGACCUCCUGGGUGUGCUCGUGGACUCCGAUCUUGCCCUCAAUAAAACCCCAGUGGGACAGGAAUAGCUCUUUGAACCUCCAAGGUCCAGACAGCCACAUCCUAGCACCCUGUACAAUCAGUUAGUGGGCUUCCCACCAGCGCAGUCACUCAUUCCUAUUAGAUCCCGAUGAAGCCAGGCCCUGGGGUUUCCAUUUUCCCACCUCUUAGGGGAAUUGGGUUCCCAGCGUCCUGUGAUGUGUCAACAAAUGUCCUCAGCCCUGGCCUGCACAUGUGGCCUCAAUGGUGGUCUUUGGGGUUUAACUGACGAAUGGAACAUUUUGGAUCGGGACUGAUGGGAGAAUCCCCUUUCAUUUUUCUUCACCUGGGGCAAUUACCUUCCAAGGAGCAGAAUAGAGGGCAGUUCUGCCCAAAGCAUCAGGGCUCACAGGUCAGUCACAGCCAUUUAGGGAGGGCACGUCGCCGAAGGAGGGCUCGCCCUUCUUUCCAGAGCAUCCUCCGCUCUCAGCAGAGCUGCUUCUGCCCACCCAUCCCUCUACUAUAGCACUGAGCACUGUUUUUGCCUGUGUCAGAAUCCCUCACCCACAUGUAUAGCUUGGUAUCCAAGCUUGGGAGGCCGGCAAUGACUUUCAACAUGAAUUGCUCCAUCUAUCCAUCCAUGCAUUCAGCCUACUUAUCUUGACCCUGUUCUUUUGGCCUUUUCUUCUCCUGAAAGCAAACCCUUUCAUUUUGGGUGGGCUGUGUAGCGCCAUGGGCUGUGGUUAUGAAGCAAACACCUUUUCUCGUAGCUGCCUCCUCCGGGGUUACUGCUCUGAGCACAUCCCAGCUGGAUCUCAUCUGCCACUGUCACCCACAGCUUCUUCCCCAUGGUGCUUUCCAUGUGUCACACACCAUGACUAUGACCCAGGGUCGGGGUCGCAGAGUAGCCUGGGGCCAAGCCCUCCCAACCAUGAGCGGAGAGGUCCUCCCCAGGCCUCACCUUGCCUGGUGCAUGGUCCCUGCCAUGAGCUUUGCGUUCAGCCUUUCAGCUUCCUCCACCGGAUGGCAGUGGUUGUAACUCAUCUAUUCAUCGCUUCAUUCCUUCGUUCAUUCACUCACAGCCAACAAACAUUUAAAAAAAAUUAGCCAGUGCUAUACUAGAGCUGGCUCCCAAGGACCCGCUGCCUCAUUGCCUUUUGAAAGAAAACAAUGAACACGUUGGUAAAGGGGCCGUGCUUGUGUGUCGGUGACAAGGCGAGAUCCCUGAGUCAGCUCGGGCUUGUAGAUUCGAGGAGUGUUGCGAGUUUGAUUGCCCCUCUGACUUUGUCCCCUGUACAACUAGGUUGAUUAGGAAUCAGCCAACUGUGUUCCCUGGGUGCUCGGAAAUCACAGCCCAUAUCCUCGAGAGGCCAAAAUGAGAGCUGGGGGGUUCCAAGAUGAGUGGCUGCUUCUGGCCGUGAGCAGGCUUUCAAGUCAUUAGAACACUCUGGCCUUUCCUGGAGGUGAUCUUGGAGCCAUUCCUGCCCCUUUCAAGAGGAGUUAAUGCCCAGCUCUGUUUAGAGAAAAUUGGGGGAGAUGAUUGCUCAUGUGGGUGGUAAGAGUCACCUCCCGUUCGGGGGUCUGCGUAGAACACUCCAUUGGCAAACCUGGGUGUCCAAGGCACGUGGCAUUUUGCAAACUCUGGGUGCAGCUCCAAGCUGUCCUGCAGGUCCCAGACCAGGUGAGAACUCCCUGAGUUCCUGCUGCCUGGGUGGGGGGUGAGGCAUAGGUCUUGGGGGUUCGACUGGAAUUCUGAAUGUUAUUCAUUGCAUUGGAGAGGAAGGAGAGUAGGCAAAGCCAAGACCCUGGAACUGGACAAACUCGUGUGGUUUAAAGUCAUUGUGAGAGCUGGAGUUGAGUCUGCCUACAGGGGAGGACUGCGGCACCUACCUCGCAGGGCUGUUGUGAGGAGCAAUGUAACGGUGAUUUUGAACUGUGAUUCUGGAAGGGCGGUGUGCGUGUCCCCGGGGGUGUGCCAAGGGGAGACAGCCUCACUCAGGCAGCUGAGUGGGAAGGCGUUCAUCUCUAAACGUUGGGGGGUAUAUGGUGGGACAGGAAGAAUUUUGGCAGGAACUUUCAUGCUAGGGGUUUGGGGGACUCUUUGGACAAUGCCCCUGGACCCCCCGGGGGUACACGUUCACGCUCACCUCUGAGAGGCUGGAAACGCCUGGCUGUGCUUUCUGAAUGCUGUGUGCUUCCUGCCUCUGUGCCUGGCCUGUGGGCAGCACCUACUUGUGUCCGCCUUCAAAAGGCCCUUCUGGGUGGUGUCCUUUUCCCCAAAAUAUUAGGCACCAGCCAUCAAAGAUGCUGCAUUGUUCCCUCCCUCACCCCUCCCCCAACUGACAACAUUUGGGCUCAAAUGCCAGCAGGCUGGGUGCCCAACACAGUGCCUGGCGAGUGGCAGUGCUUGCCUUUCUUUUCUGUUGAAUGGAUGGAUAGCUAAUGAAAUUGUAACCAAUGACAAGCCUCGAUGUUUAUAACCUUUACCAAGAGAUUAUUAUUUUGCUCUUCAUGGACCUGUUAACUGCCAUAUUGUGUCUUACGGACGUUUGUAUGCCACGUUGGAAGAGCAGAAGCCUUGUUUCGGCGUCAUGUUGAUGGAACUUGAGCUGUCUGAUGCGAAUCUGUGUUUUAUGUUAGAAAGAGCCUAGCCUUAGGAUCUGGCAGACCCAGGGACCACUUAAUUAGCCCUUUGCCUCUUUGACCCUCAAUCUCCUUUUCUCUAAGCCAUAGGUCACCAGAAAGCCUACCUCACAGGGCUGUUGUGAGGGCCGAGGGUGGGUGUGCUGCAACAGUGCUGUGCAGAUGCUGGCUUUCCCUGGGAAUGGGCAUAUGUUGAGAUUUGUCUUGAAAGCAUGAGUGAUGGCUUUACUAGUCCUAAGUGAAUAAAAAGUCAGCCCUGACCUUACACUGGGAUUGCAUUUCCCACAGUCAGUGGCAUGUGCAAACCACUGGCAGAGCAGCCUGCAGGUGCUUAGCGAUGUGGGCCCAGAGUAAAUAUUUGUUUGAUUGAUGAGUGAUGGCUUUUUCCUUCCUCAGAGGUUGCCCUGCCCCCCAUUCCAACGUGGGCUGCUGCUUCUCCCCAGCAGGUUGUAGCUGGCAGGGCCGUUGUGCCUUGGGGUUUGCUGUACCCGUUGGUGCCAUGAGGGGACGGUCUGUUUGCUUGGAGGGGUUUCUGCAAACGUUCAUGUAUGCCCCUGGUUUUGUUUGUUAGGGAGAAGGAGGGGGUGACCUAGAGAGAGGAUGAGGAAGGGGUUCUGGGUGGCAUCCUUGGGGUGGCAACCCUCCUUCCACCCUGUGCUGUGAAUUUCCUCACGGCCCUUUUCUGUCCCUGGUAGAAGGUGCAGAAGGUAGGCUUUGCUGCCUUCCCUGGGCCUGGCACCAAGCUCGGGGGUCUUGUACACGUUCCCUUCUCUAACUGGGGUGUGGGCCCAUUUCCUAGAUGAGCUUGCUGAGAAUCAGGACAGCUCGUAUCAGAGCCAGGACUUCCCAGUCUUGCACAUACAACCUGUGCAUUUUCGAGUCCACCAAAUAAGGCCUCCUACCUGGUCCGGCUCACCCCUGCCAGCCCCCAGCAAAUGCAGCCUGGUGCGUCCCCACCCCUGCCAAGCGCCCAGGAGUGCUCUGGCAGAGGAGUGCAGGGAUGAGGAAGGAGGCUGUGCUCUCCUGGGGACUCAGCUGCAUUACAGGAGGUGCCGCUGCGCUGGCAGGGGUCUCCAGACAUCCCAGGCAGGGGUCCUUUCAGAGCAGGCGUCUCUUCACCAGACCACCCGUAUUCCUUUUCCAGCCCUCGUCUCUUGCACUGUGGGGGUGCAGUGUUUGGCUCUCACAUCCCCACAUUCCAGCUGGUGGGGGUUUGAGCUGGGUGUUCCUUCUGUUCCCCACUCCCCACUCCCAGCCCCCACCCCGUGCAAGCCUCCCUUGCCCCCACUCUUUGUCUCCAGCUUUCACAGCCUUGGGGGGCAGGCUGCUGGGUCUGUUGCAGCCCCGGCUCUCUUCCACCCGCCUCUUCUUUCUCAGCCUGAACUUUACUGUGAGGUCUGAGCACCACACCUUGGCCCCUGCCAUGCCUGCCCCCAGAAGCACCCAGGGGUCCCCUGAUUCUCUCCUCCCCUGGGCUUUGCUGAGGAGCCCUUGCAUUGUGGCCUGUGGUGUCUGCCCCAUGCCCAUCCCCUGUUCUUUAGAACUUAGAAGCAGAGGGGGCCCCUCCUAUUGCUCCCAAGGGGCUCCACAGUAGGGAGCCCCUCCCAGGAGAUUCUGAGUCUGUGUUUAGGUGUUGAUUCCUGGGUGGGCCUUGGGGUCCCCUCAGGCCAGGCCUGUGUGUGACCUAAGGCUGGGGGGCUCUAUCAGGCACCUAGCGUCCCUUGGAGGUGGGCGGGGCUGGGUCCUGGUCUCCUGAGGGUGGGUGGGGAGACAGGCUCAGGGAGAUUUCCACGAAGCUGCCCUUGAACCCCUGCUCUGAGGCCCGCACUGCCUUGGCCCUUUACACCCUGCCUCCUGCACUAGGAGGCACAUAAUAGAUGCUCGCCACCUGUGGAGGGCAGGGUUUAAAUGGCUGGAAAGAGCUGAGUGGGCUGUUUGGCUAGUGUACGCGCAUUUGUUUAAAAGGAAAGGGUGUGUUUCUUGGCAAAGACUCUUCGGAGGAAACGCUGACCUGGGGAAGGGUCUCUACCUGUUCUGGGGCCUCACUGCCCUUCCUGCCGGGGACAGGCAGUCACUGGUGGGUUUCCCCCCAGUGGAAACACAGUAUUUUGGAAAUAUUUAUAUCUAGGAUAAAACUUCAUCUGGACCAACAUGUCUUUGUUGGUGUUGUGGCCCAGGUGAUUUUGAGAAUGUACAAUACAUUUGGCAAUUUCCAAAUGGAGGGAUGACCUGCUCCCCCGCCCCCAUGCCCUCCCUCCCUGAGGCUGGAGGCUUCAGAAGCCCCUGCCUUGGGAGGAGGCUGUUCUACCUGAGAAGUCUUUGUCCCCACCAUUGGUGACAAUCAGCAUUGACCUGUGAGGCACCUGCCGGGUUUGGGAUGCAGCCUUAGACAUCCAGAAAACCAGGGGUGGAGGGGUGCGGUGGGGGCUUCAGACCCCAGAACUUGAUUCCUUUUAUCUGUCUCAGCCCCAAAGAGUGGUACGUGGGUACCAGGUAGGUUACUUGAACCACCCUGAGCCUCGAUUUUCCCACCCGUUAGAAACGGGGUAAUUCAUGGCAGUGUCUGCUUGGGAGAUGGCUGUGACCCCUGAGAAUCCCCGCUGCAUGCCGUAGGCUGGCUCGUGAGACUCAAGGUCUGGGUUCAAGGCCCCCCCAACCCCUUCUGACUGUGUGGCCUGGGCGAGUUUGCCGUUUGUAACCUGGAAAGCGUCACACCUGCCUGGCACGGUUAUUGUGGGAUUCAAUGAGAUUGUUUGUGUGAAAUAAAUGCUUUGUGACUGGCACACAGGCUCUCUCAUCCCGGCUCUCCUGGUGGUUCCGGACCCCUGAGUGCUGGCUGCAGAGGCCCUGUGCUCCCUGGAACCGUCUGCGCUGGUCCCAGGGACUCUUGGGCAGAGUGGAGGGCAAGGGGGGAUGCACCAGCCCGCUCUGGGGAGACAGUGGCAUAGAGAAGGGUUUGCUUUUAAAUACACUCAGCAGGUUCAGACAGGAGAGGAUCAGACGGGAAAUGUUUAGAGCCCUCAGGAGGAGGAAGAGCCCGAGUUUUAAGAAAAACACGAGAGCUGGACAGGUUGGGCAGAACAGCUGGGGACAGCAUUUAGAAAGGCCGAGAGUCCUGGGUUCUGGGUUAUCAAGAUGAGAGAAACCAGAGGUUGCCAACUGUGGGUGGGCGUCAGUACUAGAGUGAUGCUUCCAGAAGUUCCUGCAAGUGGGCAGAGUCCAAGGUAGGGCAGGGUACACCAGAAGUUGAAGGGCACUAGGUAGACGGGCCGAGCUGGUGGCUGGGUGCUCCCCUCACCCUCCAUGCUGCUAGGAGCCCCUGAGCACGGACUCGCUCUCCUCUCCCUACCUCCUGGGGCCUGCCUGUCUGUCUGUGAACUCUUGUCGGCCAGCGAGGCUGGGAGCAGGUGGCCUUCAUCUGCAACUGUGUCUCUCUCAGCCUCCACAGCCACGGGGACGCCUUGCACCUAUUCCCACGGGACAGGCUGGACCCAGAGACUCUGGACCCGGGGCCUCCCCUUGAGUAGAGACCCGCCCUCUGACUGAUGGACGCCGCUGACCUGGGGUCAGACUCAGACCCGCGGGCUGGACCCCUGCCCACCCCUCAGGAACCCUGAGGCCUAGGGAGCUGUUGAGCCUUCAGUGUCUGCAUGUGGGAAGUGGGCUCGUUCACCUACCUCACAGGGCUGUUGUGAGGGGCGCUGUGAUGCAGUUCCAAAGCACAGGGCUUGGCGCACCCCACUGUGCUCUCAAUAAAUGUGUUACCUGUCUUAACAAAAA
Molecule: RNA transcript, 9991 nt
Organism: Nomascus leucogenys (northern white-cheeked gibbon)
Lineage: Eukaryota; Metazoa; Chordata; Mammalia; Primates; Hylobatidae
Exons: 8
Source: RefSeq, a predicted model, not a curated record